RNAcentral lists this ribosomal RNA (795 nucleotides) under uncultured archaeon. Its description in RNAcentral is "bacterial SSU rRNA". It matches the Rfam family "Archaeal small subunit ribosomal RNA", at positions 85 to 879 of the family's 1478-position model. The record is from RNAcentral.
ACGGCUCAGUAACACGUGGACAACCUACCCUGAGGUCGGGGAUAAACCCGGGAAACUGGGUAUAAUACCCGAUAGAUCUAGAUCGCUGGAAUGCUUUUAGGUCUAAAGUUCCGACGCCUCAGGAUGGGUCUGCGGCCUAUCAGGGUAGUAGUGGGUGUAAAGUACCUACUAGCCCACGACGGGUACGGGUUGUGAGAGCAAGAGCCCGGAGAUGGAUUCUGAGACACGAAUCCAGGCCCUACGGGGUGCAGCAGGCGCGAAACCUUUACAAUGCUGGCAACAGCGAUAAGGGGACCUCGAGUGCUACGAUACAAUCGUGGCUGUCUAGUUGCCUAAAAAGCAAUUGAUAGCAAGGGCCGGGCAAGACCGGUGCCAGCCGCCGCGGUAACACCGGCGGCUCGAGUGGUAACCGCUAUUAUUGGGUCUAAAGGGUCUGUAGCCGGCUUAGUUAGUCUCUUGAGAAAUCUGGCCGCUUAACGGUCAGGCGUUCAGGGGAUACUGCUAAAGCUCGAGACCGGGAGAGGUGAGAGGUACUUCAGGGGUAGGGGUGAAAUCUUGUAAUCCUUGAAGGACCACCAGUGGCGAAGGCGUCUCACCAGAACGGAUCUGACGGCAAGGGACGAAAGCUAGGGGCACGAACCGGAUUAGAUACCCGGGUAGUCCUAGCCGUAAACGAUACUCGCUAGGUGUCGGCCACGGUGCGACCGUGGUCGGUGCCGUAGGGAAGCCGUGAAGCGAGCCACCUGGGAAGUACGGCCGCAAGGCUGAAACUUAAAGGAAUUGGCGGGGGAGCAC